ACGUUUAAGACUAAGACGUUGAUAGGCUGGGUGUGUAAGUGCAGCGAUGCAUUGAGCUAACCAGUACUAAUGACCCGUGAGGCUUAACCUU
Molecule: ribosomal RNA, 91 nt
Filed under: Rouxiella silvae
Lineage: Bacteria; Pseudomonadati; Pseudomonadota; Gammaproteobacteria; Enterobacterales; Yersiniaceae
Description: partial 23S ribosomal RNA
Rfam family: Bacterial large subunit ribosomal RNA
Source: RNAcentral